AGCCAGUCCUGCUUCAAAAACCUCAGUAACUGCACACUCAUAUUCUCCUGUGCUGUACUUGUAUUUCCUAAGCAUUUCUGCUACCAGUAGUCAUGAAAAAUCAGCACAGAAAGAUGUCAAAACUAAAGAACUCCCUUGGCCUUCAGGAAUUCAAAGUCCAGAUAUUUUUAUUUCGCAUGAACUCUCUGAAGCUGGGAGGAGAACUGCUGGGGGAAGGAGAGAGGCUGCAUUUCUGAAAUUCUUUCUUUGUGAAUCAGCAGAUAGUGCUUCUGGAGCUGGGAAUGUUUCCUCUUGGACCGACUCCAUCUCCUUUUUUGGUCUGCAAACGCUUGAGGUUAAUGGUUGGGGUUGAAGAAGUUGAAGCACAUGGUAGUGCUUUGAAUAUGAAAAGAGGAAUUUGCACAAUAUGGGUGCAUUAGUCAUUUGCAGUUCACUAAUUAUCUGUUUUAUGUUAAUGCUAAUGCUCCAUGUAAGUAAAGUAAAUUAACACGAUAACAUAAAAGAAGCAAUUAAUGGAAUAUAUAACAUUUGUAGCUUUAAUAAAACCGAUUUCAUUCCACACACAGAGAAAGCGGCUAUUUAGGUCUCUGAAAUAAAUGAGGAGCUUGCUGAAACCUUGCUGCUCUAAGUAACA
This is a long non-coding RNA of Passer domesticus (house sparrow), 634 nucleotides long. RefSeq lists it as uncharacterized. The record is from RefSeq and is a predicted model, not a curated record. The transcript is spliced from 4 exons. Lineage: Eukaryota; Metazoa; Chordata; Aves; Passeriformes; Passeridae.